RNAcentral lists this ribosomal RNA (1030 nucleotides) under Sphingobacterium anhuiense. RNAcentral's name for it is "bacterial SSU rRNA". It matches the Rfam family "Bacterial small subunit ribosomal RNA", at positions 89 to 1122 of the family's 1533-position model. Lineage: Bacteria; Pseudomonadati; Bacteroidota; Sphingobacteriia; Sphingobacteriales; Sphingobacteriaceae. The record is from RNAcentral.
AUGAGAGUGGCGCACGGGUGCGUAACGCGUGAGCAACCUACCCAUAUCAGGGGGAUAGCCUCUCGAAAGAGAGAUUAACACCGCAUAACAUCAUUUACCGGCAUCGGAUUAUGAUCAAAUAUUUAUAGGAUAUGGAUGGGCUCGCGUGACAUUAGCUAGUUGGAGAGGUAACGGCUCACCAAGGCUACGAUGUCUAGGGGCUCUGAGAGGAGAAUCCCCCACACUGGUACUGAGACACGGACCAGACUCCUACGGGAGGCAGCAGUAAGGAAUAUUGGUCAAUGGAGGCAACUCUGAACCAGCCAUGCCGCGUGCAGGAUGACUGCCCUAUGGGUUGUAAACUGCUUUUGUCAGGGAAUAAACCUUUCUACGUGUAGAAAGCUGAAUGUACCUGAAGAAUAAGGAUCGGCUAACUCCGUGCCAGCAGCCGCGGUAAUACGGAGGAUCCAAGCGUUAUCCGGAUUUAUUGGGUUUAAAGGGUGCGUAGGCGGUCCUAUAAGUCAGUGGUGAAAGACGGCAGCUUAACUGUCGCAGUGCCUUUGAUACUGUAGGACUUGAAUCUAUUUGAAGUGGGCGGAAUAAGACAAGUAGCGGUGAAAUGCAUAGAUAUGUCUUAGAACUCCGAUUGCGAAGGCAGCUCACUAAGUUAGUAUUGACGCUGAUGCACGAAAGCGUGGGGAUCAAACAGGAUUAGAUACCCUGGUAGUCCACGCCCUAAACGAUGAUAACUCGAUGUUUGCGAUACACAGUAAGCGUCCAAGCGAAAGCGUUAAGUUAUCCACCUGGGGAGUACGGUCGCAAGAUUGAAACUCAAAGGAAUUGACGGGGGCCCGCACAAGCGGAGGAGCAUGUGGUUUAAUUCGAUGAUACGCGAGGAACCUUACCCGGGCUUGAAAGUUAGUGAAUGAUCCAGAGACGGAUCAGUCCUUCGGGACACGAAACUAGGUGCUGCAUGGCUGUCGUCAGCUCGUGCCGUGAGGUGUUGGGUUAAGUCCCGCAACGAGCGCAACCCCUAUGUUUAGUUGCCAGC